Molecule: ribosomal RNA, 274 nt
Filed under: uncultured bacterium
Lineage: Bacteria
Description: partial 16S ribosomal RNA
Rfam family: Bacterial small subunit ribosomal RNA
Source: RNAcentral
AUACGGAGGGGGCUAGCGUUGUUCGGAAUCACUGGGCGUAAAGCGCUCGUAGGCGGAUUGGUCAGUCAGAGGUGAAAUCCCAAGGCUCAACCUUGGAACUGCCUUUGAUACUGCCAGUCUUGAGGUCGAGAGAGGUAAGUGGAAUUCCUAGUGUAGAGGUGAAAUUCGUAGAUAUUAGGAAGAACACCAGUGGCGAAGGCGACUUACUGGCUCGAUUCUGACGCUGAGGAGCGAAAGCGUGGGGAGCAAACAGGAUUAGAUACCCUAGUAGUCC